UGGGGAAUUUUGGACAAUGGGCGCAAGCCUGAUCCAGCCAUGCCGCGUGCAGGAAGAAGGUCUUCGGGUUGUAAACUGCUUUUGUACGGAGCGAAAAGCCCCUGGCGAAUAACCGGGGGUCAUGACGGUACCGUAAGAAUAAGCACCGGCUAACUACGUGCCAGCAGCCGCGGUAAUACGUAGGGUGCAAGCGUUAAUCGGAAUUACUGGGCGUAAAGCGUGCGCAGGCGGUUUUGUAAGACAGAGGUGAAAUCCCCGGGCUCAACCUGGGAACUGCCUUUGUGACUGCAAAGCUGGAGUGCGGCAGAGGGGGAUGGAAUUCCGCGUGUAGCAGUGAAAUGCGUAGAUAUGCGGAGGAACACCGAUGGCGAAGGCAAUCCCCUGGGCCUGCACUGACGCUCAUGCACGAAAGCGUGGGGAGCAAACA
RNAcentral lists this ribosomal RNA (427 nucleotides) under uncultured bacterium. RNAcentral describes it as "bacterial SSU rRNA". It matches the Rfam family "Bacterial small subunit ribosomal RNA", at positions 355 to 774 of the family's 1533-position model. The record is from RNAcentral.